GAUGAAGAACGUAGCGAAAUGCGAUAAGUAAUGUGAAUUUCAGAAUUCAGUGAAUCAUCGAAUCUUUGAACGCACAUUGCGCCCCUUGGUAUUCCGAGGGGCAUGCCUAUUCGAGCGUCAUUAUCACCCCUCAAGCCUAGCUUGGUGUUGAGGCCUGCUGUCAAGGCAGCCUCUAAAAUCAGUGGCAGUGCUGUCAGGCUCUAAGCGUAGUAAAUCUAAUCGCUAUAGACACCUGGUGGACACUCGCCAGAACCCCCCCAUUUUUUAAUGAUUGACCUCGGAUUAGGUAGGGAUACCCGCUGAACUUAAGCAUAUCAAUAAGCGGAGGA
Molecule: unclassified non-coding RNA, 329 nt
Filed under: soil metagenome
Description: partial contains 5.8S ribosomal RNA, internal transcribed spacer 2, and large subunit ribosomal RNA
Rfam family: 5.8S ribosomal RNA (bases 1-120)
Source: RNAcentral